RNAcentral lists this ribosomal RNA (243 nucleotides) under uncultured bacterium. RNAcentral describes it as "partial 16S ribosomal RNA". It matches the Rfam family "Bacterial small subunit ribosomal RNA", at positions 524 to 766 of the family's 1533-position model. The record is from RNAcentral.
UACAGAGGUCCCAAGCGUUACUGAGAAUCACUGGGUUUAAAGGGUGCGUAGGUGGUCCGUUAAGUCAGUUGUGAAAUCCCCGGGCUCAACCCGGGAAAUGCUUCUGAUACUGGCGGACUUGAGGCCAGUAGGGGUCACUAGAACUGACGGUGGAGCGGUGAAAUGCGUAGAUAUCGUCAGGAAUGCCGGUGGUGAAGACGGGUGACUGGGCUGGUUCUGACACUGAGGCACGAAAGCGUGGGG